AACGGAGGGUGCAAGCGUUGUUCGGAAUUACUGGGCGUAAAGCGCGUGCAGGCGGCUUUUUAAGUUUCGUGUGAAAUCCCCCGGCUUAACCGGGGAACUGCACGGAAAACUGAGAUGCUUGAGUACGGGAGAUGUGGGCGGAAUUCCCAGUGUAGAGGUGAAAUUCGUAGAUAUUGGGAGGAACAUCGGCGGCGAAAGCGGCUCACAAGACCGAUACUGACGCUCAUACGCGAGAGCGUGGGUAGCAAACAGG
Molecule: ribosomal RNA, 253 nt
Filed under: uncultured bacterium
Lineage: Bacteria
Description: partial 16S ribosomal RNA
Rfam family: Bacterial small subunit ribosomal RNA
Source: RNAcentral